RNAcentral lists this unclassified non-coding RNA (21 nucleotides) under Chlamydomonas reinhardtii. RNAcentral describes it as "small RNA Cre_0597". Lineage: Eukaryota; Viridiplantae; Chlorophyta; Chlorophyceae; Chlamydomonadales; Chlamydomonadaceae. The record is from RNAcentral.
AGGUGAAAGCCCGCGAAUGGG